GUUGAAAAUGAAGAGACUCUUACAAUUUUUAACUUCUUGGUGGGUGCUGAUUCUGCAUUUCACUCGCAUUUCUUCACUGACCAAUGGAGAGGCUUAGAUUCUUAAACAUGUUGUUGGCAGUUCAUGGCUUAUUCUGUUAUGCUGGCCAGGUGCCUUUGGUUCUAGUUUAAGCAUCGCCAAUUAAGCCCUUCAACGAAUGUGUUCAACGCAAUACACAAGGAAUCUUUCUUAUGCACAAAAAAUCUGUUUCUUUUUUACCUGAAUGUGUCAUCAUUGGUUACUCACCAAUGUGGGUCCAAUGAGGCACAACUUUGGAGAGGUUCCACUUCCUCACAAACGUGUCAUCGUUGGAUUGCAUCAUAAUUUUGCAAUCCCUUCUGCUUUUCUACACCAUUUGGAAUGAUAUCCUAACCGUUGAUCUUCACUUACAAAUCAGGUAAAAUGUAGUGGUAACUUUUUUUUCCUGGUAAUUUUUAUUUUCUGAGAUAAGUUGGUUUCAUAUGUUCUUUUGAAUAUUGCAAUGUUCCUUUUUAUCACACAUAGCAUGUGGGAUGGUCAUAGUUGAGAGCAUGGUAAUGAACCAACUUGAUUGCGUCACUCCAAGUUCAGUCAAGACUUGUAUUAUUUGCAUCUGGAUAGUUGUUGUUAGUUUAGAUGAUAUCGCUGCGUAGAUUGGAAGAAAUCAGAUUUAUUGCACUCACUGGAUUGAAGUAGCGAUUAUGUUUUCUUGUGUUCUUUGGAUUAAUCAGAACUACAGAUGUUGCCUGAUGCUUGCUGAAAAACAAAAGGCAUCUCUGGUUAGGGCCCCUUCUUUGAAACUACAAUUAUUGCUAUAAUCAGUAUUUAACUUAUUUCUUUCCCUUCUUUUACAUUUAUCCCCU
Tripterygium wilfordii is the source of this 881-nucleotide long non-coding RNA. RefSeq lists it as uncharacterized. Lineage: Eukaryota; Viridiplantae; Streptophyta; Magnoliopsida; Celastrales; Celastraceae. The record is from RefSeq and is a predicted model, not a curated record. The transcript is spliced from 3 exons.